This is a non-coding RNA of Vicia faba (fava bean), 246 nucleotides long. NCBI's taxonomy places the organism in Eukaryota, Viridiplantae, Streptophyta, Magnoliopsida, Fabales, Fabaceae. The record is from the annotation of a GenBank genome assembly.
AUGGGAAGUAGUACGCCCGGUUCACCAGAAGGAAAAGAAGCUCCUAGCGUGAAGGUAGCUUGUCUCGCCCAGGAGGUGGGAACAGUUGAAAACAAAGUGGCAAACGGGUGCGUAAUGCGUGGGAAUCUGCCGAACAGUUCGGGCCAAAUCCUGAAGAAAGAUAAAAAGCGCUGUGACGACGACGUCGAGUUGGCGGCGGAGAAAGACUCGGCAUUCAGGCGAGCCGCCCGGUGGUGUGGUACGUAG